UAACACAUGCAAGUCAGGGGCAGCACAAGGAGCAAUCUGAGGUGGCGACCGGCGCACGGGUGAGUAACACGUAUGCAACCUGCCUGUAAGCGGGGAAUAACCCGUUGAAAGACGGACUAAUACCGCAUAAUACUAAAUUACUGCAUGGUAAUUUAUUUAAACAUUUAUGGCUUACAGAUGGGCAUGCGCAUGAUUAGCUAGUUGGAGAGGUAACGGCUCCCCAAGGCAACGAUCAUUAGGGGUUCUGAGAGGAAGGUCCCCCACACUGGUACUGAGACACGGACCAGACUCCUACGGGAGGCAGCAGUGAGGAAUAUUGGUCAAUGGACGAGAGUCUGAACCAGCCAAGUCGCGUGCAGGAAGAAUGUCCUAUUGGAUUGUAAACUGCUUUUGCAGGGGAAUAAAGUGCAUCACGUGUGAUGUUUUGUAUGUACUCUGCGAAUAAGGAUCGGCUAACUCCGUGCCAGCAGCUGC
RNAcentral lists this ribosomal RNA (474 nucleotides) under uncultured bacterium. RNAcentral's name for it is "bacterial SSU rRNA". It matches the Rfam family "Bacterial small subunit ribosomal RNA", at positions 49 to 518 of the family's 1533-position model. The record is from RNAcentral.